Molecule: transfer RNA, 67 nt
Filed under: Marmota monax (woodchuck)
Lineage: Eukaryota; Metazoa; Chordata; Mammalia; Rodentia; Sciuridae
Description: tRNA.Thr
Source: RNAcentral
GGUUGUAGCUCAGGGGUAGAGCUCUUGCCUCGUACUUGUGAGGCACUGAGUUCAAUUCUCAGCAUCA